This 253-nucleotide ribosomal RNA is filed under the name uncultured bacterium. RNAcentral's name for it is "partial 16S ribosomal RNA". It matches the Rfam family "Bacterial small subunit ribosomal RNA", at positions 524 to 776 of the family's 1533-position model. The record is from RNAcentral.
UACGUAGGUGGCAAGCGUUGUCCGGAUUUACUGGGCGUAAAGAGCGCGCAGGCGGUCGUGCAAGUCGGGUGUGAAAGCCCCCGGCUCAACUGGGGAGGGUCACGCGAUACUGCUCGACUCGAAGGCAGGAGAGGGAAGUGGAAUUCCCGGUGUAGUGGUGAAAUGCGUAGAUAUCGGGAGGAACACCAGUGGCGAAGGCGACUUCCUGGCCUGUUCUUGACGCUGAGGCGCGAAAGCUAGGGUAGCAAACGGG